AAGUGACCCGGAUUGGCGGAAGGUUGCUGAAGGUGUGUCUGAACGUGGGACUGGCAGCAUGGUGCAUUGCAGCGGAGACAAACUUUCUGCGCCGGGAGCGGUGGCCCUCGCCGACAGAGGAUACAUUGUAAUAUUGCAGCAGGCUUUGACGAAGAGAGGAAUGCAGGCACUGAACUGCGAGGCUCAAUACAGCUCGCAUUAACACCUCCCUCCCCGGGUCACGUGAUAUGUCCUGAAUUGAUACACUAAACCAGGAGGAGUUGAAGAGGCCGAAGGGGCGGGGUCUAAAAUUAAAAGGGCAAUGUUUUCUUCUGGCAAAAUCUCAUGGAUUUCUCCGGGAAUGAGCAAGGCAUUUAAAAUGAAUUCAUGGUAAUUUUCUUUUCCCCCUUUGUUCUUACCAAAACAGAGAAUUUCUCCACUGUCCUAGUUACUAUUGGGAUGGUCAUUAGCAAAAAUAUUUAUUUCAGAAACUGACGUGAAUAAAAAAUAAUUACAAUGUGGUAACUAGUUUUUAAUGUAUGUUUCAGUGUUUCAAAAGAUUACCAGUCUCAAUGUGUGGGGUUUAUGGUAGAUUAGUUGAUAGAAAACUUUCAGAGGGGAUUACUAUUACCACAGUUUGUAAUAUUGUCUCAAGUGCUGUUCAAAUAAUUAUUUCCAUUAAAGCUGCAUAGUAAAAAUUAA
Anguilla rostrata (American eel) is the source of this 681-nucleotide long non-coding RNA. RefSeq lists it as uncharacterized. The transcript has 2 exons. The record is from RefSeq and is a predicted model, not a curated record. Lineage: Eukaryota; Metazoa; Chordata; Actinopteri; Anguilliformes; Anguillidae.